This 201-nucleotide long non-coding RNA is filed under the name Elaeis guineensis (African oil palm). RNAcentral's name for it is "long non-coding RNA (EGUI_LNC027834)". Lineage: Eukaryota; Viridiplantae; Streptophyta; Magnoliopsida; Arecales; Arecaceae. The record is from RNAcentral.
CGUGGAGGCUUGGAGUGGGCAUCCUCUCCUUGGGCGUGCGAUUCCCUUAGGCAUCCUCUCCUCUUGGCGUCCUCCUCCUUGUGGUGUGGCAUGUGGGCUCCUUCCUAGGCUUCGAGAUCUGAUCUCAAAGUCCUCCUCUCUUUCCUUCCUGAAGAGAUCUUCAUCCCUUCUUCCUACAUUGGUUGGCAUGCGAGUGAAGUA